Molecule: transfer RNA, 72 nt
Filed under: Marmota marmota marmota (Alpine marmot)
Lineage: Eukaryota; Metazoa; Chordata; Mammalia; Rodentia; Sciuridae
Also listed under: 1 other name
Rfam family: tRNA
About the family: Transfer RNA (tRNA) molecules are approximately 80 nucleotides in length. Their secondary structure includes four short double-helical elements and three loops (D, anti-codon, and T loops). Further hydrogen bonds mediate the characteristic L-shaped molecular structure. tRNAs have two regions of fundamental functional importance: the anti-codon, which is responsible for specific mRNA codon recognition, and the 3' end, to which the tRNAs corresponding amino acid is attached (by aminoacyl-tRNA synthetases). tRNAs cope with the degeneracy of the genetic code in two manners: having more than one tRNA (with a specific anti-codon) for a particular amino acid; and 'wobble' base-pairing, i.e. permitting non-standard base-pairing at the 3rd anti-codon position.
Source: Rfam by way of RNAcentral
UGGGGUGUGGCUCAGUGGUAGAGUGCUCACCUAGCACAAGUGAGGCACUGGGUUCAAAUCUCAGCACCACAU